RNAcentral lists this ribosomal RNA (468 nucleotides) under uncultured bacterium. RNAcentral's name for it is "partial 16S ribosomal RNA". It matches the Rfam family "Bacterial small subunit ribosomal RNA", at positions 28 to 507 of the family's 1533-position model. The record is from RNAcentral.
GACGAACGCUGGCGGCGUGCUUAACACAUGCAAGUCGAACGGAAAGGCCCUGCUCUUGUGGGGUGCUCGAGUGGCGAACGGGUGAGUAACACGUGAGUAACCUGCCCUUGACUUUGGGAUAACUUCAGGAAACUGGGGCUAAUACCGGAUAGGAGCUCUUGCUGCAUGGUGGGGGUUGGAAAGUUUCGGCGGUUGGGGAUGGACUCGCGGCUUAUCCGCUUGUUGGUGGGGUAGUGGCUUACCAAGGUUUUGACGGGUAGCCGGCCUGAGAGGGUGACCGGCCACAUUGAGACUGAGAGACGGCCCAGACUCCUACGGGAGGCAGAAGUGGGGAAUAUUGCACAAUGGGCGGAAGCCUGAUGCAGCAACGCCGCGUGCGGGAUGAAGGCCUUCGGGGUGUAAACCGCUUUCGCCUGUGACGAAGCGUGAGUGACGGUAAUGGGUAAAGAAGCACCGGCUAACUACGUG